Molecule: ribosomal RNA, 453 nt
Filed under: Leptosphaeria sp. 1 AF-2012
Lineage: Eukaryota; Fungi; Ascomycota; Dothideomycetes; Pleosporales; Leptosphaeriaceae
Description: eukaryotic LSU rRNA
Rfam family: 5.8S ribosomal RNA (bases 103-256)
Source: RNAcentral
CUUUUGCGUACCGUAUGUUUCCUCGGCGGGCUUGCCUGCCGGUUGGACAAUAUCAAACCUUUUUGUAGUUGCAAUCAGCGUCAGAAAACAAAUAAUAAUUACAACUUUCAACAACGGAUCUCUUGGUUCUGGCAUCGAUGAAGAACGCAGCGAAAUGCGAAAAGUAGUGUGAAUUGCAGAAUUCAGUGAAUCAUCGAAUCUUUGAACGCACAUUGCGCCCCUUGGUAUUCCAUGGGGCAUGCCUGUUCGAGCGUCAUUUUGUACCCUCAAGCACUGCUUGGUGUUGGGCGUUUGUCCUGCAAAGGACUCGCCUGAAAGCGAUUGGCGGCCAACGUACUGGUGGUAGAGCGCAGCACAAUUUGCGUCUCUCCCUUCUACGUCGGCGUCCAUGAAGCCUUAUUCAAACGUUUGACCUCGGAUCAGGUAGGGAUACCCGCUGAACUUAAGCAUAUC